UGACCACAAGUUUAACGGCCGCGGUAUUUUGACCGUGCAAAGGUAGCGCAAUCACUUGUCUUUUAAAUAAAGACCCGUAUGAAUGGCUAAACGAGGGCUUAACUGUCUCCCUUUUCAGGUCAGUGAAAUUGAUCUACCCGUGCAGAAGCGGAUAUAACAAUACAAGACGAGAAGACCCUUUGGAGCUUAAGGUACAAAACUCAACCACAUCAAGCAACUUAAUAAAAAGUAAAAACUUUGUGAAACAUGAGAUCUUACCUUCGGUUGGGGCGACCGCGGAGGAAAAUAAAGCCUCCAAGUGGACCGGGACAAUACUCCUAAAACCAAGAGAAACAUCUCUAAGCCACAGAACAUCUGACCAAACAUGAUCCGGCCACCAGGACCGAUCAACGAACCAAGUUACCCUAGGGAUAACAGCGCAAUCCCCUCCCAGAGUCCAUAUCGACGAGGGGGUUUACGACCUCGAUGUUGGAUCAGGACAUCCUAAUGGUGCAGCCGCUAUUAAGGGUUCGUUUGUUCAACGAUUAAAGUCCUACGUGAUC
This 542-nucleotide ribosomal RNA is filed under the name Tor douronensis (river carp). RNAcentral's name for it is "partial 16S ribosomal RNA". It matches the Rfam family "Bacterial large subunit ribosomal RNA", at positions 1913 to 2605 of the family's 2925-position model. The record is from RNAcentral. Lineage: Eukaryota; Metazoa; Chordata; Actinopteri; Cypriniformes; Cyprinidae.